Cyclopterus lumpus (lumpfish) is the source of this 1496-nucleotide long non-coding RNA. RefSeq lists it as uncharacterized. The transcript is spliced from 4 exons. NCBI's taxonomy places the organism in Eukaryota, Metazoa, Chordata, Actinopteri, Perciformes, Cyclopteridae. The record is from RefSeq and is a predicted model, not a curated record.
AACAACGAUCGGAGGUUGAACUGUUGAACCCAUUUUAGCGCCACUUCUCCGUACUGUGUGCUGCUACAGCACGUCUUCUUCAGUGAUUCUCGAGACGCCAUUGAAGGAACGACAGCCGGACCGCUGGGAACAUGACGUCUCUUCUUGAGACAUUGUAAUCCAACUUGGUUGUGGACUUGGAUGGGAACAACUUUCUGACCUUAAUGACACCCAGGAAAACGGUGAGAUUCUAAUCCAUUUAAAUGCCAAAAGCAAGCAGUUUUUGUUUUAAAAGAUGUUUAUUUUAUUCGUGUUGGAGAGGGAGAAGCGCCCCAGUGGAGCGAGAGGGGAUGAUCUGCAGCAAAGGGACCACCGGAAAUCAAACCUUGGCCGCUACGAUAACAACAUCUGGCACGUGUGAUUACGACUACCAGCAUGGACCUCAUCACCUUCUUUGUUGUUCUUCUAGUCUACCCCAUGAAUGGAUACAAGUUUUGUCAAGGAUAAACGGUGGUAAGUUGUAGUAAAGUUCAGUGUGUGUGUUCAUUUAACAGAAAGCUUUAGGCUCAUCUAUUUUUGUAAGCACUCUAUCCAUUUCAUGUUCAAACAGUGUAUGCAUGUUACAUAACUUUGUAUUAACAUAUGGCUAAUUUUAUUAUUUAUUUUACAUUUUUGAUAGACUAUACUAUCGACUGGCAUUUUUAUGAAAAUAUUUUAUUCUACUCUUCUUCUUUUUUCAACAUUUUGUACAUUUGUUAUUUUAUUGUUAGAACCACUUUGUAACAGUGUAAGUGAUAUUUAAAGUUAUAUUAUUGUUGUUACUGUUAAUCUUCUCUAUUUUGUCUUUUUUCUGGCUGAGAGAAUCAUGUCAGCCCACAGUGGACAACCGAUUGACUUGUGAAUCUUCAAGCAGUAAUGAUGACAACACCUGCCUUAAGUUCCAGUUUCCUGAACAUCGUGCCAUGUCUGCUUGAGAUUCUGUCCCACCUGUCUUCAGUCUGGACCCAAUGACUCAGACACCAGUCUUGUCAAGGCUAAUUUUAGUGAGGAUCACCUGAUGGUCCACAUACGAGUCUUCAAGCAGAACUUCCUGAACUUUCUGUCCGUGUGAGACUAUACCAUGUUGGGUGCCCUCUUCAGUCAAGUCUGGACUCAGCGACUCAUUGCUCUUGAUGAACUCAGGGCAAGUGGCUAAUCUUUUCAUGUUUAUUCAUGGGUUAUCCUUCAUGUCCACAUGCUGUUUCUUCAAGAUUUCCACAAUGCUUUGUGAGUAUACAGUACAUGUUAUUGGAUCAGUUCAACCUGUUUUUUCACAGAGAAUGUUAGUUUCUUAAGGUUUAUCAACGAUGGUUUGUAUCUUGAUUUACAAAAGGUGUUAUUUGAUAUUUCCUUUGUAAUUUACAAUAAGCGAAUGUUGACUAAAAUCUAUGCCAACUAAUUGUUAUACGUUGUACCAUGUUUUUUGCAAAGGAAUUCUGGUAACCACAGUUGCUGGCAACUUCCUUUGAACUUUGUAA